UACGUAGGGGGCAAGCGUUGUCCGGAAUCAUUGGGCGUAAAGAGCGUGUAGGCGGUCCGGUAAGUCGGUUGUGAAAGUCCAGGGCUCAACCCUGGGAUGCCGAUCGAUACUGUCGGACUAGAGUUCGGAAGAGGCGAGUGGAAUUCCCGGUGUAGCGGUGAAAUGCGUAGAUAUCGGAAGGAACACCAGUGGCGAAAGCGGCUUCCUGGUCCAGCACCGACGUUCAGGCACGAAAGCGUGGGGAGCAAACAGG
This 253-nucleotide ribosomal RNA is filed under the name uncultured bacterium. RNAcentral describes it as "partial 16S ribosomal RNA". It matches the Rfam family "Bacterial small subunit ribosomal RNA", at positions 524 to 776 of the family's 1533-position model. The record is from RNAcentral.